GACGAACGCUGGCGGCGUGCUUAACACAUGCAAGUCGAACGGAAAGGCCCUGCUUUUGUGGGGUGCUCGAGUGGCGAACGGGUGAGUAACACGUGAGUAACCUGCCCUUGACUUUGUGAUAACUUCAGGAAACUGGGGCUAAUACCGGAUAGGAGCUCCUGCUGCAUGGUGUGGGUUGGAAAGUUUCGGCGGUUUGGGAUGGACUCGCGGCUUAUCAGCUUGUUGGUGGGGUAGUGGCUUACCAAGGCUUUGACGGGUAGCCGGCCUGAGAGGGUGACCGGCCACAUUGGGACUGAGAUACGGACCAGACUCCUACGGGAGGCAGCAGUGGGGAAUAUUGCACAAUGGGCGGACGCCUGAUGCAGCAACGCCGCGUGCGGGAUGACGGCCUUCGGGUUGUAAACCGCUUUCGCCUGUGACGAAGCGUGAGUGACGGUAAUGGGUAAAGAAGCACCGGCUAACUACGUG
Molecule: ribosomal RNA, 468 nt
Filed under: uncultured bacterium
Lineage: Bacteria
Description: partial 16S ribosomal RNA
Rfam family: Bacterial small subunit ribosomal RNA
Source: RNAcentral